AACAUGGCGGGCGAGGUGGGGGCGAUGGCUCUGCGGCAUCUGCGGCUCCUUCAGCCGCCUUUGGGCUCCAUCAUCGCCCCCAAGCGCGGGGAGUCUCGGGGAAAGGCCACGCGCAGGGUUCUGGCUGGGCUCAUUACUGUCACCUUGAAGGGAAGGCCACAAAAGCCCUAAAAAGCUCUGACAUGCCACUUCAUCCAUUGGAAAUGGAAAUAACUCCACAGUGCCCCUCCUCUGCCAUGUCCACAUCACAGGAGUGAGCAGUUAUGCAAGCCAGAGCAUUGUCUGCCAGGCCACYGAGGUCGUCUGAUGUUAUCAAAGAGCUGCUACAGGGUGGAUUUGAAACAGCAAAAUCCUGGAGUCAUCCUUCACCAUGGAAAGGCCUCGUUCCUCCAAGGACAUGGGGACAAAAAGGGUUGAAGAGUAGCAGUCACUUCAGACACUUCCAGUUUGAAAAAGAACUGUAAAAAUGGCACCAUAAAACUUUAUUUCUGCUUCUCGCUGAGGCUGGAUCAGGACUGGCUGCAGGCACUGAGGAGAAUAUGUGCCUGUGUUUGGAGGAAGUCCUGGGAAUCUCUAGAACUCCAUCUCUUUCACUGUCCCACAGCAGAGGAAUAAAAAAAGAGGCAAUCCUGCAGGAAGGAACACAUGGCUGAGAUAAAACCUCCCUCUGGAUGAAGCUGACUUAGGGGCUUACAGUCCUUCAGCUUCCUUCAGCUUCAGUUCCCACAUGGUCAUUUAACAAGGAUGGAGAUGUUUCUCCUCCCUACAAGUCCUGCARAGUUGGAAACUUGGAAUUUCUUUUGCAGACGUGGAGGGAGAGUGGUGCUUGGUUUAUUCAUCAUCAUUGAUUGUGAUCUGUGUUCUUGUUCCACUGCAGUGCCAUGAGAUAAUUAAUACUAAAACACCCCUGCUUGUUAGUUUACAUAAUUCUGAUGCCUUUAAAAUCAGCAAAAAGGGGCUGUUGACAAUGCCCAAGGGAAAGCAGAAUUUAAUACAUUCUUCUUGCAUCCCGAAUUACUUGGCAGAGCUGAUGGUGCACAGGGGACCAGACUCCACGAUGAAAACCAAGCCUUGCUGAAAUCUGAAAGYACAGAUUGCACCCUGGAUGAAUGUGGGCAGGAGCUGGAUGAAUAAAGAGGUAUUAAUUGUUACUGCAUCUACCAUUGAAAUGGAAUAGAAGUGGGCAACAGUUCAAAAGCAAAGUAGGAUGGAAUUAAUUGGGUUUUCUCAUAACCUUUUUUUUUCUGCUCAGAAGUGUUAGAGCUUCACUCACAGCAG
Long non-coding RNA from Malurus melanocephalus (red-backed fairy wren), 1278 nucleotides. RefSeq lists it as uncharacterized. The transcript has 3 exons. NCBI's taxonomy places the organism in Eukaryota, Metazoa, Chordata, Aves, Passeriformes, Maluridae. The record is from RefSeq and is a predicted model, not a curated record.